Long non-coding RNA from Mustela erminea (ermine), 97 nucleotides. RefSeq lists it as uncharacterized. Lineage: Eukaryota; Metazoa; Chordata; Mammalia; Carnivora; Mustelidae. The record is from RefSeq and is a predicted model, not a curated record. The transcript is spliced from 2 exons.
GGCUGGCUCCGUCAGAAGAGCGUGCGACUCUCGAUCUUGCGAUUGUGAGUUCGAGCCUCAUGUUGGGUGUAGAGAUUACUUUAAAAAUUAAAAACUU